GGGCCUGUAGCUCAGUUGGUAAGAGCACUCGACUCAUAAUCGAAUGGUCGUAGGUUCAAGUCCUACCAGGCCCA
RNAcentral lists this transfer RNA (74 nucleotides) under Candidatus Endomicrobiellum cubanum. RNAcentral describes it as "tRNA-Ile". It matches the Rfam family "tRNA". From Rfam's summary of the family: Transfer RNA (tRNA) molecules are approximately 80 nucleotides in length. Their secondary structure includes four short double-helical elements and three loops (D, anti-codon, and T loops). The record is from RNAcentral. Lineage: Bacteria; Pseudomonadati; Elusimicrobiota; Endomicrobiia; Endomicrobiales; Endomicrobiaceae.